Molecule: ribosomal RNA, 1366 nt
Filed under: uncultured bacterium
Lineage: Bacteria
Description: bacterial SSU rRNA
Rfam family: Bacterial small subunit ribosomal RNA
Source: RNAcentral
GACGAACGCUGGCGGCGUGCCUAAUACAUGCAAGUAGAACGCUGAAGGAGGAGCUUGCUUCUCUGGAUGAGUUGCGAACGGGUGAGUAACGCGUAGGUAACCUGCCUGGUAGCGGGGGAUAACUAUUGGAAACGAUAGCUAAUACCGCAUAACAGUAGAUGUUGCAUGACAUUUGCUUAAAAGGUGCAAUUGCAUCACUACCAGAUGGACCUGCGUUGUAUUAGCUAGUUGGUGGGGUAACGGCUCACCAAGGCGACGAUACAUAGCCGACCUGAGAGGGUGAUCGGCCACACUGGGACUGAGACACGGCCCAGACUCCUACGGGAGGCAGCAGUAGGGAAUCUUCGGCAAUGGACGGAAGUCUGACCGAGCAACGCCGCGUGAGUGAAGAAGGUUUUCGGAUCGUAAAGCUCUGUUGUAAGGGAAGAACGAGUGUGAGAGUGGAAAGUUCACACUGUGACGGUAUCUUACCAGAAAGGGACGGCUAACUACGUGCCAGCAGCCGCGGUAAUACGUAGGUCCCGAGCGUUGUCCGGAUUUAUUGGGCGUAAAGCGAGCGCAGGCGGUUGGAUAGUCUGAAGUUAAAGGCUGUGGCUUAACCAUAGUACGCUUUGGAAACUGUUUAACUUGAGUGCAAGAGGGGAGAGUGGAAUUCCAUGUGUAGCGGUGAAAUGCGUAGAUAUAUGGAGGAACACCGGUGGCGAAAGCGGCUCUCUGGCUUGUAACUGACGCUGAGGCUCGAAAGCGUGGGGAGCAAACAGGAUUAGAUACCCUGGUAGUCCACGCCGUAAACGAUGAGUGCUAGGUGUUAGACCCUUUCCGGGGUUUAGUGCCGUAGCUAACGCAUUAAGCACUCCGCCUGGGGAGUACGACCGCAAGGUUGAAACUCAAAGGAAUUGACGGGGGCCCGCACAAGCGGUGGAGCAUGUGGUUUAAUUCGAAGCGACGCGAAGAACCUUACCAGGUCUUGACAUCCCUCUGACCGCUCUAGAGAUAGAGUUUUCCUUCGGGACAGAGGUGACAGGUGGUGCAUGGUUGUCGUCAGCUCGUGUCGUGAGAUGUUGGGUUAAGUCCCGCAACGAGCGCAACCCCUAUUGUUAGUUGCCAUCAUUGAGUUGGGCACUCUAGCGAGACUGCCGGUAAUAAACCGGAGGAAGGUGGGGAUGACGUCAAAUCAUCAUGCCCCUUAUGACCUGGGCUACACACGUGCUACAAUGGCUGGUACAACGAGUCGCAAGCCGGUGACGGCAAGCUAAUCUCUUAAAGCCAGUCUCAGUUCGGAUUGUAGGCUGCAACUCGCCUACAUGAAGUCGGAAUCGCUAGUGAUCGCGGAUCAGCACGCCGCGGUGAAUACGUUCCCGGGCCU